This 756-nucleotide ribosomal RNA is filed under the name uncultured bacterium. Its description in RNAcentral is "bacterial SSU rRNA". It matches the Rfam family "Bacterial small subunit ribosomal RNA", at positions 627 to 1382 of the family's 1533-position model. The record is from RNAcentral.
UGGAAACUNUCUGACUUGAGUGCAGAAGGGGAGAGUGGAAUUCCAUGUGUAGCGGUGAAAUGUGUAGAUAUANGGAGGAACACCAGUGGCGAAAGCGGCUCUCUGGUCUGUCACUGACGCUGAGGCUNGAAAGCGUGGGUAGCGAACAGGAUUAGGUACCCUGGUAGUNCACGCCGUAAACGAUGAGUGCUAGGUGUUAGGCCCUUUCCGGGGCUUAGUGCCGGAGCUAACGCAAUAAGCACUCCGCCUGGGGAGUACGACCGCAAGGUUGAAACUCAAAGGAAUUGACGGGGGCCCGCACAAGCGGUGGAGCAUGUGGUUUAAUUCGAAGCAACGCGAAGAACCUUACCAGGUCUUGACAUCCCGAUGCUAUUCUUAGAGAUAGGAAGUUACUUCGGUACAUCGGAGACAGGUGGUGCAUGGUUGUCGUCAGCUCGUGUCGUGAGAUGUUGGGCUNNNNNNNNNNAACGAGCGCAACCCUUAUUGUUAGUUGCCAUCAUUAAGUUGGGCACUCUAGCGAGACUGCCGGUAAUAAACCGGAGGAAGGUGGGGAUGACGUCAAAUCAUCAUGCCCCUUAUGACCUGGGCUACACACGUGCUACAAUGGUCGGUACAACGAGUUGCGAGCCGGUGACGGCAAGCUAAUCUCUGAAAGCCGAUCUCAGUUCGGAUUGGAGGCUGCAACUCGCCUCCAUGAAGUCGGAAUCGCUAGUAAUCGCGGAUCAGCACGCCGCGGUGAAUACGUUCCCGGGCCUU